AGCGAACGCUGGCGGCAGGCCUAACACAUGCAAGUCGAACGAACUCUUCGGAGUUAGUGGCGGACGGGUGAGUAACACGUGGGAACGUGCCUUUAGGUUCGGAAUAACUCAGGGAAACUUGUGCUAAUACCGAAUGUGCCCUUCGGGGAAGGAUUUAUCGCCUUUAGAGCGGCCCGCGUCUGAUUAGCUAGUUGGUGAGGUAAAGGCUCACCAAGGCAACGAUCAGUAGCUGGUCUGAGAGGAUGACCAGCCACAUUGGGACGUGAGACACGGCCCAAACUACCUACGGGAGGCAGCAGUGGGGAAUCUUGCGCAAUGGGCGAAAGCCUGACGCAGCCAUGCCGCGUGGAUGAUGAAGGUCUUAGGAUUGUAAAAUCCUUUCACCGGUGAAGAUAAUGACUGUAGCCGGAGAAGAAGCCCCGGCUAACUUCGUGCCAGCAGCCGCGG
RNAcentral lists this ribosomal RNA (447 nucleotides) under uncultured bacterium. RNAcentral describes it as "bacterial SSU rRNA". It matches the Rfam family "Bacterial small subunit ribosomal RNA", at positions 29 to 520 of the family's 1533-position model. The record is from RNAcentral.